This 274-nucleotide ribosomal RNA is filed under the name Enterobacter sichuanensis. RNAcentral describes it as "partial 23S ribosomal RNA". It matches the Rfam family "Bacterial large subunit ribosomal RNA", at positions 1 to 276 of the family's 2925-position model. Lineage: Bacteria; Pseudomonadati; Pseudomonadota; Gammaproteobacteria; Enterobacterales; Enterobacteriaceae. The record is from RNAcentral.
GGUUAAGCGACUAAGCGUACACGGUGGAUGCCCUGGCAGUCAGAGGCGAUGAAGGACGUGCUAAUCUGCGAAAAGCGCCGGCGAGGUGAUAUGAACCUUUGACCCGGCGAUGUCCGAAUGGGGAAACCCAGUGUGUUCCGACACACUAUCGUUAACUGAAUACAUAGGUUAACGAGGCGAACCGGGGGAACUGAAACAUCUAAGUACCCCGAGGAAAAGAAAUCAACCGAGAUUCCCCCAGUAGCGGCGAGCGAACGGGGAGCAGCCCAGAGUC